AUGAGAACACUCGGUCUGGCGUCUGUGGAAAGAGCGAGGAAAAGGCAGGCCUCCAGGAUUUCUUGGCUCAAGGCCGGCGACGCACGCACAGCCUUUUUCCAAGCAAAGAUCAACUCAAGGAGAAGGAAAAACUUCAUACACUCCCUGCAAACUGACACGAUCACUUCCACGGCUCAUGAAGACAAAGCG
This 189-nucleotide ribosomal RNA is filed under the name Triticum aestivum (bread wheat). Its description in RNAcentral is "partial small subunit ribosomal RNA". Lineage: Eukaryota; Viridiplantae; Streptophyta; Magnoliopsida; Poales; Poaceae. The record is from RNAcentral.